UUUGCGGGCGCGGCGCCGGUCUAAGUUCCUUGGAACGGGGCGUCAUAGAGGGUGAGAAUCCCGUAUGUGACCGGCGACCAAGCCCAUGUGAAACUCCUUCGACGAGUCGAGUUGUUUGGGAAUGCAGCUCAAAAUGGGUGGUAAAUUUCAUCUAAAGCUAAAUACCGGCCAGAGACCGAUAGCGCACAAGUAGAGUGAUCGAAAGAUGAAAAGCACUUUGGAAAGAGAGUCAAAAAGUACGUGAAAUUGUUGAAAGGGAAGCGCUUGCAACCAGACCUGUCCGCGGGCGAUCAGCCGUCCUUCUGGGCGGUGCACGCGCCCGUGAUCAGGCCAGCAUCGGUUCGGGCGGUCGGAUAAAGGCCCUGGGAACGUAGCUCCUCUCGAGGAGUGUUAUAGCCCAGGGUGUAAUGCGGCCAGCCGGGACCGAGGACCGCGCUUCGGCUAGGAUGCUGGCGUAAUGGUUGUAAGCGGCCCGUCUUGAAACACGGACCAAGGAGUCUAACAUCUAUGCGAGUGUUUGGGUGUUAA
Molecule: ribosomal RNA, 528 nt
Filed under: Brownliella montisfracti
Lineage: Eukaryota; Fungi; Ascomycota; Lecanoromycetes; Teloschistales; Teloschistaceae
Description: LSU rRNA
Rfam family: Eukaryotic large subunit ribosomal RNA
Source: RNAcentral